GGGCCCGUAGUCUAGCGGUUAAGGGUAUCCGCAGAGGAUGCCGCCCUUACGAGGCGGAGGUCCCGGGUUCGAAUCCCGGCGGGCCCA
RNAcentral lists this transfer RNA (87 nucleotides) under Thermoprotei archaeon. Its description in RNAcentral is "tRNA-Val". It matches the Rfam family "tRNA". From Rfam's summary of the family: Transfer RNA (tRNA) molecules are approximately 80 nucleotides in length. Their secondary structure includes four short double-helical elements and three loops (D, anti-codon, and T loops). The record is from RNAcentral. Lineage: Archaea; Thermoproteati; Thermoproteota; Thermoprotei.